This 468-nucleotide ribosomal RNA is filed under the name uncultured bacterium. RNAcentral describes it as "partial 16S ribosomal RNA". It matches the Rfam family "Bacterial small subunit ribosomal RNA", at positions 28 to 507 of the family's 1533-position model. The record is from RNAcentral.
GACGAACGCUGGCGGCGUGCUUAACACAUGCAAGUCGAACGGAAAGGCCCUGCUUUUGUGGGGUGCUCGAGUGGCGAACGGGUGAGUAACACGUGAGUAACCUGCCCUUGACUUUGGGAUAACUUCAGGAAACUGGGGCUAAUACCGGAUAGGAGCUCCUGCUGCAUGGUGGGGGUUGGAAAGUUUCGGCGGUUGGGGAUGGACUCGCGGCUUAUCAGCUUGUUGGUGGGGUAGUGGCUUACCAAGGCUUUGACGGGUAGCCGGCCUGUGAGGGUGACCGGCCACAUUGGGACUGAGAGACGGCCCAAACUCCUACGGGAGGCAGCAGUGGGGAAUAUUGCACAAUGGGCGGAAGCCUGAUGCAGCAACGCCGCGUGCUGGAUGACGGCCUUCGGGUUGUAAACCGCUUUCGCCUGUGACGAAGCGUGAGUGACGGUAAUGGGUAAAGAAGCACCGGCUAACUACGUG